RNAcentral lists this ribosomal RNA (487 nucleotides) under uncultured bacterium. RNAcentral describes it as "SSU rRNA". It matches the Rfam family "Bacterial small subunit ribosomal RNA", at positions 26 to 517 of the family's 1533-position model. The record is from RNAcentral.
AGGAUUAACGCUGGCGGCGUGCAUGAAACAUGCAAGUCGAGCGCGGUGUGAUGCGGGGUAACCCAAUUCACAUCUAGCGGCGAACGGGUGAGUAACACGUGAGCAACCUACCUUUGAGUUGGGGAUAGCCCUGGGAAACCAGGAUUAAUACCCGAUGUGGUCACAACAGGACAUCCUGAUGUGAGUAAAGGCGCAAGCCGCUCAAUGACGGGCUCGCGGCCUAUUAGCUUGUUGGUGGGGUAACGGCCUACCAAGGCGAUGAUGGGUAGCUGGUCUGAGAGGACGAUCAGCCACACUGGGACUGAGACACGGCCCAGACUCCUACGGGAGGCAGCAGUUAGGAAUUUUCCGCAAUGGGCGAAAGCCUGACGGAGCAACGCCGCGUGAGUGAUGAAGACCUUAGGGUUGUAAAGCUCUGUCGGAGGGGAAGAACACAAUGACCGGUACCCUCCAAAGAACGCCUCGGCUAACUACGUGCCAGCAGCCG